This 341-nucleotide ribosomal RNA is filed under the name Paenibacillus sp. VTT E-133280. RNAcentral's name for it is "bacterial LSU rRNA". It matches the Rfam family "Bacterial large subunit ribosomal RNA", at positions 1 to 346 of the family's 2925-position model. The record is from RNAcentral. Lineage: Bacteria; Bacillati; Bacillota; Bacilli; Caryophanales; Paenibacillaceae.
AGGUUAAGCUAAUAAGAGCACACGGAGGAUGCCUAGGCGCCAGGAGCCGACGAAGGACGUGGCGAACAACGAAACUGCCUCGGGGAGCUGUAAGCAAGCUUUGAUCCGGGGGUGUCCGAAUGGGGAAACCCAGCUGUGGUAAUUCGCAGUUACUCAUCUCUGAACACAUAGGAGAUGUAGAGGCAGACCAGGGGAACUGAAACAUCUAAGUACCCUGAGGAAGAGAAAACAAUAGUGAUUCCGUCAGUAGCGGCGAGCGAACGCGGAACAGCCUAAACCUAAGAGCUUGCUCUUAGGGGUUGUGGGACGUCUCACAUGGAGUUACAAAGGAAUAUGGUAGG